UACGGAGGGUGCGAGCGUUGUCCGGAAUCAUUGGGCGUAGAGGGCGCGUAGGUGGCCCGGUCAGUUCGUGGUGAAAGCGCGGGGCUCAACCCUGCGUCGGCCAUGAAUACUGCCGCGGCUGGAGCACUGUAGAGGCAGGCGGAAUUCCGGGUGUAGCGGUGGAAUGCGUAGAGAUCCGGAAGAACACCGGUGGCGAAGGCGGCCUGCUGGGCAGUUGCUGACACUGAGGCGCGACAGCGUGGGGAGCAAACAGG
This 254-nucleotide ribosomal RNA is filed under the name uncultured bacterium. RNAcentral describes it as "partial 16S ribosomal RNA". It matches the Rfam family "Bacterial small subunit ribosomal RNA", at positions 524 to 776 of the family's 1533-position model. The record is from RNAcentral.